GCGGGCGUGGCGGAAUCGGUAGACGCGCCAGGUUUAGGACCUGGUGACCGCAAGGUCGUGGGGGUUCAAGUCCCUCCGCCCGCA
Molecule: transfer RNA, 84 nt
Filed under: Solirubrobacterales bacterium
Lineage: Bacteria; Bacillati; Actinomycetota; Thermoleophilia; Solirubrobacterales
Description: tRNA-Leu
Rfam family: tRNA
About the family: Transfer RNA (tRNA) molecules are approximately 80 nucleotides in length. Their secondary structure includes four short double-helical elements and three loops (D, anti-codon, and T loops). Further hydrogen bonds mediate the characteristic L-shaped molecular structure. tRNAs have two regions of fundamental functional importance: the anti-codon, which is responsible for specific mRNA codon recognition, and the 3' end, to which the tRNAs corresponding amino acid is attached (by aminoacyl-tRNA synthetases). tRNAs cope with the degeneracy of the genetic code in two manners: having more than one tRNA (with a specific anti-codon) for a particular amino acid; and 'wobble' base-pairing, i.e. permitting non-standard base-pairing at the 3rd anti-codon position.
Source: RNAcentral